CGGUGUAUUCGUACCCUUAUCAUUCUCUCGCCCCGUGUGAUUUUUACUUUAACAACUGGACGGAGAACUGAUAAGGGCUCGUAUCACC
This 88-nucleotide microRNA precursor is filed under the name Cochliomyia macellaria (secondary screw-worm). Its description in RNAcentral is "precursor cma-mir-184". It matches the Rfam family "mir-184 microRNA precursor family". Lineage: Eukaryota; Metazoa; Arthropoda; Insecta; Diptera; Calliphoridae. RNAcentral also lists the same sequence under 1 other name. The record is from RNAcentral.